Gasterosteus aculeatus aculeatus (three-spined stickleback) is the source of this 797-nucleotide long non-coding RNA. Lineage: Eukaryota; Metazoa; Chordata; Actinopteri; Perciformes; Gasterosteidae. The record is from Ensembl.
CAUUUCUUCAGGAACACGUACUGUGAUGCACUCGUGGCUCUCUGGCUUGUGGCCGAUGCAGAGGCUGCGCUGCUGCUGGAGGUGGAGGUAGAUGCUCCAGCAGCAGCUUUCAUCCUCUGCAUGUCUCUGCUGCGCACAUACUGGACGGCGUUCUCCAUCUGCGUCUCUGGAGCUGGUGAUGUCCUCCGGAGAUUCGUAGAGGCUCUCCAGGGUCUCGAAUUUGAAGUCCCCGAAGCCAACGAGGGCCCGUCCCUCCUGACCGGGCUGGAGGGAAUUUGCCUGCGCCUCCUCAAAUGCCCUGUGGAACCUGACAGCCUCCACAAAGUCAGGAUAGGCGGAGGAGUAGCGGGUGAAGGCGUCCUUAUUGUGAAGGACCUUGUUGGCCAUCAGCGGGGACUGAGACUGCGUCCUCUCGCGCUCCUUCUGGUGGGAGGCGACCAGAUUGACGCUGUAGCCCACGUCGUUCUCCAGGAGCCAGAGGAAGGUUCUGCCCUGGUAGCGGCCAAACUGCACCUUCCACCGGCUCAGAACCAGGGCGGCGUUGGCGGUGUCACCGCCCUUGGAGACGACAUGAACCCAGGCCUCCGAGUCCACCUCCUCCGGCCUCUUUGCCCUGUAAGGCGCCUGGGCACUGGGGGGCUGCCGCGUGAAGAGGGCCUGGGCCUCUGGGGAGGCCGUGGGCAGGAUGGUCCCGUUAGGGGCCCUUCUGCAUGUAGGAUGCUCCAUCUAAACAAAUGGACAUUUUAGCAGCACACGGGAGAAAGAAGAAGACAUGACACGUGACACUCCCAUCUAUG